GGUAAGAAAGGAAAGGAGAGGAAAGGAAGGAAAAGAAGCUGACCUGGAUCGUCGAAGAGGAAGGCGUUGACGAUUUUGGCGGAGAAGACACAGAGGACGACAAGGAGAGGAAGCUGCAGGAGACGACACCGGAGGAAAUUGUCUAU
Arachis ipaensis is the source of this 146-nucleotide non-coding RNA. The record is from RefSeq and is a predicted model, not a curated record. Lineage: Eukaryota; Viridiplantae; Streptophyta; Magnoliopsida; Fabales; Fabaceae.